CAGCAGCCGCGGGAAUACGUAGGGUGCAAGCGUUAAUCGGAAUUACUGGGCGUAAAGCGUGCGCAGGCGGUUAUAUAAGACAGAUGUGAAAUCCCCGGGCUCAACCUGGGAACUGCAUUUGUGACUGUAUAGCUAGAGUACGGCAGAGGGGGAUGGAAUUCCGCGUGUAGCAGUGAAAUGCGUAGAUAUGCGGAGGAACACCGAUGGCGAAGGCAAUCCCCUGGGCCUGUACUGACGCUCAUGCACGAAAGCGUGGGGAGCAAACAGGAUUAGAGACCCGUGUAGUCCCUGUCUCUUAUAC
This 301-nucleotide ribosomal RNA is filed under the name uncultured bacterium. Its description in RNAcentral is "partial 16S ribosomal RNA". It matches the Rfam family "Bacterial small subunit ribosomal RNA", at positions 509 to 807 of the family's 1533-position model. The record is from RNAcentral.